GCUUGUCUCAAAGAUUAAGCCAUGCAUGUCUAAGUAUAAACUGCUUUAUACUGUGAAACUGCGAAUGGCUCAUUAAAUCAGUUAUAGUUUAUUUGAUGGUACCUUACUACUCGGAUAACCGUAGUAAUUCUAGAGCUAAUACGUGCGUAAAUCCCGACUUCUGGAAGGGACGUAUUUAUUAGAUAAAAGGCCGACCGGGCUUGCCCGACUCGCGGUGAAUCAUGAUAACUUCACGAAUCGCAUGGCCUCGUGCCGGCGAUGUUUCAUUCAAAUUUCUGCCCUAUCAAUUGGCGAUGGUAGGAUAGAGGCCUACCAUGGUGUUAACGGGUGACGGGGGAUUAGGGUUCGAUUCCGGAGAGGCAGCCUGAGAAACGGCUACCACAUCCAAGGAAGGCAGCAGG
This 401-nucleotide ribosomal RNA is filed under the name uncultured Stichococcus. Its description in RNAcentral is "partial small subunit ribosomal RNA". It matches the Rfam family "Eukaryotic small subunit ribosomal RNA", at positions 30 to 432 of the family's 1831-position model. The record is from RNAcentral. Lineage: Eukaryota; Viridiplantae; Chlorophyta; Trebouxiophyceae; Microthamniales.